Molecule: long non-coding RNA, 1278 nt
Organism: Vitis riparia (riverbank grape)
Lineage: Eukaryota; Viridiplantae; Streptophyta; Magnoliopsida; Vitales; Vitaceae
Exons: 2
Source: RefSeq, a predicted model, not a curated record
UUUCCAUACCCAUUUUUUUUCCUUUCUUCCCACUGCCGGCACCACUGAUGCGACACCACCGCCGGCCCCACUCCGGCCGGCCACCCCCUCUUCCCCUUCUUUCUUUAUCUCAUUCACUUUCCUUCUCUCUCCUUUUCUAUUCAUCUCUCUCACCCAUGGAAAACCAUCACCCCACCACCCAUUCUCCCUCGCACACCACAUUUCAUUUAUGGCCACUGUAUCUUCGUGCCCACUACUGCUCCAUUGCAUCUUCUUCCAUGGGUUCUUCAAUUUUAGCCACAGGUAAAUGGUGCUUGCUGUGAGUGUCAAAGUGGGACCCCGACACUACCCGAUCACCCCACCACCUAACCUGCCUAUCAGCACCUUGCCACCCUUCUUCCCACGUAUAACAAAGAAGGGAAUUGACCCACUACAGAUCUAUAAUUUUCCAGGAAAACACAUUUAUGCAAACGAGAUGCUGAAACAUAAAAACACUUCAAAUCAUGGGUGACUGACUGCUACACUUACUGGGCUUCAAUAUUGGCUUCUAAAUCUUGGGUUUCUGAACUCGGCCCAUCUUGUUGGGGAUACGGUUCAUUCAUGACUUCCACAGCUGCGCUAAUGAAAACAUCGUAAACCUGAUUGAUGGGGAUGACAGCCUGUAGCGAACGAAGAGCAUGGUCUACAAUCCGAGCAGCGGGGUAGAAGGAUAGCAGUAGGAGAACAGAAUAAACAUACCAGAAGAGUGGCUGCGGGAAAAUCAGUGAAGCCAUAAAUGAGAGAGCGGGGGGUUUCCAAACCGCAGACGUAAGUGGAGUGUGUGGAAUGAACAAGUGAAGAGAGUGAGGGGGACUUCAAUGGAGACGAAGGAAAAGGCAGCUAGAAUGAGGAGAAAGCAAAAGAGGUUGGUCCAAGUGAUCAGAUCCCAACUUAUCCCUCCUGUUUGGGAUUUCGCCAUGUUUAUCAGGACUAUGAUGCAGAACCUCAAAUCGAAGUAGCGCAUGGCGCAUUUGGUUCAUAAACAUGGCGAAAUCCCAAAUAGGAGGGAUAAGUUGGGAUCUGAUCACUUGGACCAACCUCUUUUGCUUUCUCCUCAUUCUAGCUGCCUUUUCCUGUUUGUAUGUGUUUGUGGAAAAUUAUAGGACUGUGGUGGGUCUGUUAGUAUGUGUUUUUGUGGAAAAUUAUAGGACUGUGAUGGGUCCGUUCCCAUCUUUUUUUAGAGGCUCUUUACGUGAUUGUCUCACUAUUCAUAUUUAUAACAUUUGAAGCGCUUUUAAAGUUUGAGGUACUUCGAUGAUA